AUGCAUGUCUCAGCGUACACGGCUUCCACAGUGGGUCUGUGAAUGGCUCCUUACAUCAGCAGUCAUCUGAGUGAUACAGUGCGGACGGUGCCCCUCCUGCCAGGCGCCCAAUUGGAUAUCCUCCAAAACCUAGUGGCUAAUACACGCAAGCCAAGGUCGGCCUCAGCAUGGUCUUGCCAGCAGUCCCUGCUGCUUCACCAGUGGUGGAUUGCGCCCAGCCGCUUGAAAGACCAGCGCCUGGAUAAUGGCAGUGUGUUGUGGUUGACUCAGGCUGGUCCAUCUUGGACACCUGCGCUGGCAGAGUGGUGGCCCCGGCCACAGCAUUGCUUGAUCACAAGAACUUCUGACCUAUCAGCCUGGAUGGUGGUGUAGUGGACCACCAUGGCGGUGACGGGUAACGGAGAAUCAGGGUUUGACUCCGGAGAGGGAGCCUGAGAGACGGCUACCACUUCUAAGGAGGGCAGCAGGCACGCAAAUUGCCCAAUGCCAAGACAUUCUCUGGUGAGGCAGCGACGAACUGCAGCAAGCCCGCCUGUCCUCGUGACCAGCGGGCCUUGUAAUGGAUGCAUAAUCCAAAAACAGUGAUGAGUAUCAACCGGAGGGCAAGUCUGGUGCCAGCAGCUGCGGUAAUUCCAGCUCCGAGUGCGUAUACUAACAUUGCUGCUGUUAAAACACUUGUAGUCUGAUGCUGGGUUGCAGGUCUGCCGGGGCAGCUGUGGGGUGGCCCUUGUCCCUCUGGGUGUCCUGCCCGUCAGGCCCCCGGAAGGGCCUGGGUUGCCUCCCGCUGGUCAAAACCCUGGUGGUAUGUUCCUGCACCCGUGCCAACGAUGGUGAGAGCCGCUCCUGCUCCAAGUCUCCUUCAGUGGGGGCCGCUGCGGUGUGCAUACCCAACGCUUGUGUGUUGACGUCCGGGGCCACGGCCUUGCGCCUGUGGAUUCUCCCCAGUCCACCACCGGAGUCCACCGUCUCUGACACCGUGGAAAACUCAGUGUGCCCCAAGCAGCCUCUGCGGCUGGAUGCCCGUCCAUGGAAUGUCAAAGCAUCGACCACCUGCUUGGCUUUUGGAGUUGUGCUGGCCUUGGUGCCCAGGUUGGGGAACAUGGCACUGUCCCCAGUGGCACACGGAGGACGCCCCCGUGGUGCUCCCCCGCUGGGCUGCUGGUGGGCAGGCGUCACUCGUCCAUGAUGGGACUGCUCAGGGUGGAAGGUAUUGCAACGCCAGAGGUGAAAUUCUUAGACCGCUGCAAGACCAACGGCGGCGGAGGCGUUCUGCAGGUGCACGUUCGUCGAUCAAGAAUGUGAGUGUGGGGAGCAAAGAUGAUCAGACACCGUCGUAGUCCACGACUGUCAACUAUGCCGGCCCGGUCCUGGUGGUGCAAGUACACGGACGCCAUCAGGGCCAUCUCCCCCUGCAACGAGAAAUCCAAGCCUGUGGGUUCAGGGGGGAGUACUGUCGCAAGGCUGAAACUUAAAGGAAUUGACGGAAUGGCACCACAAGGUGUGGAGUAUGCGGCUUAAUUUGACUCAACACGGGGAAUGUUACCAGGUCAGGACGUUGCUGGGAUGGACAGAUUGAGAGCUCUUUCCUGAUUCCUCGGAUGGUGGUGCAUGGCCGCUCCUGAUUGGUGGAGUGAUUUGUCUGGUUGAUUCCGUUAACGAGUGAGACAUCUGCCUCCCAAUAGCCCCAACCUCGCAUCUUGUAGGGCGGCCACGGCSSGCCACGCGGGGCUUGCCCAAGGGGUGGCUGCGGUUUGCCUGAGAGGUUCUGGGAUCAGCUUCUCUGAGGUGCUGUGUACGCUACCAAGUGCAUGCAUGCUAGAGCCAACAGCAGGUCUGUGAUGCUCCCAGAUGUCCUGGGCCGCACGCGCACUACAUUGGCCCAGUGAAUGUGCUCAACGCUUGCUUGUCAAGACCUUCCUGGAAGUGGGUUGGAAACCCCUGAAGCCUGGCCUUUGCCGUACUGGGGAUAGAUGAUUGCAACUGUCUGCCUUGAACGAGGAAUACCUAGUAAGCGCAGGUCAUCAGCCUGCACUGAUUGUGUCCCUGCCAUUUGUACACACCGCCCGUCGUUGCUACCGAUGGCAUCGGGAUAGAGCCAUCAGGAGGACCCGCUCCCCUUGUGGGAACCAAGGCUGAAAUUGGGCAAUGUCCCCGUGCUAGAGGAAGCAAAA
This 2171-nucleotide ribosomal RNA is filed under the name Lepocinclis spirogyroides. RNAcentral's name for it is "SSU rRNA". It matches the Rfam family "Eukaryotic small subunit ribosomal RNA". The record is from RNAcentral. Lineage: Eukaryota; Euglenozoa; Euglenophyceae; Euglenales; Phacaceae.